GACAAUUUUCUUUUAUAAUAUUGUUUUGAUUCGGUAAAUUUCUUAAUUCAUACCAAAUUUCUCAUCUUCUUUUCUUAAACAUCUCUUUCACAAUUCUUAAUCUUUCUAUACUUAAUGUUCAUGAUUUUAGUGUUGCUACAAAGCUGUCCAUGUAGUUUUUGGCUACAUCUCCGAUAAUAUCCAUCAUCGAUAAAAUUAUUUGUAAGUUUACUUCAGCUUACAUUGUGCAUAAUUUUGCAACAGGUACUAUUGCAUGAUAAACUAAUAAAAUACUGACAUUUGCAUGAGAAAAUAUUGAAAUUAUUUUUUAAAAAAUAAUUGGGGUAGAGAAAGAGAAAUGGGAGAGGGGAUUACAAAUAAAUCAAACUCUCAACAAUUAGGUGAAAAUUUGGGUAUUCAACUAAUUGAACUACUAAAGUUCCCUUUUAAAUAUCGGUAUAAUAGUUGUUUUGGUGACAAGCUCUUGGGGUUAUAAUUUGUAACCUAUGCAGUGUGUCUUGAUCAUAAAAACUUUUUCCUUAGUUUUCGGUAGAACAAACCUUUGAACCAUAAAAUGUUUAUUUACUACAUGAGUUAGCAGCGAAAUCUUAAUUUAAAUAGGCCUUACAGAAGUGUUCUUUGUUCUCAACCAAAUGACAAUUGACAAAGUGGAAGCACUGAGUGAAGCUCUACACAUUUAGCUUGGCUUUUGAGAAUUCCAUUUGUGUUUCUUAGUUGGUUCAGCAUUAUCAUUAUUUAGUAUACAUGUUUUGAGUGUAUAUAUUUGUUCUAUAGGUAGUCUUCUAUAUUUGACACUUUAUAAAGGAUAACUAGAAUGCUCAUGUACUAUUUAUAUAAUUUCAUUUAUAGAUAGUCUUCUAUGCUUGCCACUUUGUAAAGGAUGAAAUUUUGGUUUUGCAUUUAUAAAUUAUGAUUAUUAUGAAGUAUGUAUGUCAAAUUAAUGUUUAAAUCAUAGAUGCAACUAAUAUGAAACACAAAUUAAAUUAUAUUAGAAUUCGAAAUGUUGGGUCCGUACAUAGCACAAGCAUACUUAUCUAGUCCAAAAUGUUCUGUGAAAAGAUAAAUAAAUUUAAUUUUGUAAAUAUGACAGACCGCCAUUUAAUACUUAACGAAUCCUAGUAAUUAAUUUAAUAUAAAUAAAAGUUAAAGUGUACAGACAACGUGCUACACUUACAUAAAACGCCAAAAUACUUUACAAUAAAAAGACAAAGUAACAUUUAUCCCAAUAGAUGGCCUAGACACCAUUAUUAUAAAAAAGAUAAUAUGUCCCACAUAGCUACACUUAAUACUUUCGUUGUAAGAAUAUGAAUAAAUUAUAAAAAUCUUAGACAUAUGUUAAUAUAUCAUAAGUAAAAUAUUCUAAUUUAAGCUAAUUUUUCCGAACGUGCGUGGGGUUACAUGAAUGAUAUUUAUGUUAACAAUAAAUGGAACAUUUUGAGAGAAACCUACUAAUAUGUUAUAAGACAAAUAAAAAAUUAGAGCCCGUUUGAAAUUGCUAUUAGAAAAUAACUUAUAUGAGAAAUACUUUCAUAAAAUAUCUUUUAGAAAAGUGCUUUUAAAAAACAGUAAUUUGUAUUUGAUAAAUUUAUUUGAAAAAUGCUUUUGAUAAAAAGAUUGUGUUUGGAUAAUCUUUUUCAAGAAGUUCUUUAGAGAAACACAUGACCAAAAAUGACAUGUAUCAAUAGGCUUUUACUACUAAAAUUAUUUUAUAAAAUUUAUUUUAAAUCUCUAUUAUAAUAUUUUUAAAUAAAAUGUUAUUUUUAUUUAAUUAAAAAGUACUUAGUAUAAAAAUUUCAAUCAAUAUUUACAUACAUAAAUACAUUAAAAAAUAUUAAAUAAUGCUAUAUUAAAUAAAUAAUUUAAUAAUAACUUCAAAACAUGAAACAAAAAUGAAUUUAAAAAUUAUUUCACUAAUUAAAUCGCCACAUAUGAAAAAAUUCACAACAUAGUAACAAAUAUGUCACUUUUCAUGAUUCUAUUUAAAAUUAAAUAUUCGAGGAAAAAUUUACAAGUGUUGCUAAAAUACCAUUUGAUCUUGCUUAGUAAUUAGUCUGUCAUUUAUUAUCAUAAUAAUAAAACUAAAGAGUUAUAUAUUUUUCGAUCAUCAUCACCAAUGAUAUUCUUAAUUUUAUUUUAUAAAAUAAGUGAAAAAUAAAAUUAUAACGUAUAAAUCAUAGAAUAAAAUAAAAAAUUAUGAUAUAAAUAUGAAGUAUAAAAUUUUUAAAUUAAAUUUGUAAGAUAUGUUAAAUUAAUUAACAAGGAAUAUGUAUAUAUAUAUAUAUAUAUAUGUGUGUGUGUGUGUGUGUGUGUGUGUGUGUGUAUGUAUAUGUGUGUGUGUGUGUGUAUGUAUAUAUGUGUGUGUGUGUGUGAUAAGGAUAUUUUUGUCAUAAAAAAUAAUUUUUUGCUUCUACUUCUGCUCUUUUUGAAAAACAGAAAUUUUUCGCUUCUUCCCAGAAGCAGAACAACAGCUUCUGAUUUUUUUAAAAGCACUUUUGCAAGUUUGUGAAACACUCUUCUUUUCCAAAAAAAAGUGUCUUUUCCUUAAAAAGAAGUUCUUUUCAAAAGGAAAAAAGUAAUCUGAAACAGGCUAUUAGUUUAUGAUUUAAAUUUACACAAUGAGACGUUACGUCAAUGGUUAAUUGAUACACACAAACUUAUUUGAGUUAUUUAUGACGUCAAUCGUAGCCUUUUUACAAAUAAAUAAAACUCACUUGUGAUAAAAAGCGAAAGGAGAAAAUAGGGAGCGAAAGGAAAACUAGUUGUAAAUUUGUGAAAUUUUAAAUGCUCACAAUUUUGCUCUCAGAUGUCCAUUUGAGGUGAUUUUUGUUUUGAUCUAGUAUAUUUUUCAGAGAUCUAUGUAGAUAAACUGCUGAAAGGGGAUUUGGUCAAGCCAAUUUUUUUUAAAGAUGUCUUUGAUCUCAUCCAAUUAGCAAUUUUCUCCAAUUUGGAACACAAUUUUCAUUCUUCUUCAGCAAAAUUUGGAUGAAAAAUAAUGGAUAUGAAGACCAAAGUCGUAUGGUAAGGUAGAUGUGAAAGUCAACUUCAACAUAUUAUAUUAAAUUUUGAAAGUCACGUAGUUGGCACUAGUUAACAAUAUAAAUAGAAAAGAGUGUUUCCAUAUUAACACAUAAUGCUUACUUUACUUGGUAAACUUGCAGCUCCAAUAAAAGUCUAUUUUACCUUAGCCGUAAGGGUUCAAACCUAGGUAGAUGGAUUUAGGUAUUUAAUUAAUUGACUAAUUUCUAUUUUUCAUUAUUUUGGUACUUUAAAAAACAUAGGGAAGACAAGUAUUAGUAUUUAAUUGACUAAUUUCCUUUUUCAGUUUGAAUUUGUUAGUUUCAUAAAAUAAAAUAAAAAAAAAAAAUAGGAACCCAUGCCUUUGGUGUGCGGGUGUCUAGCACAUAGUGCACCCGCGGUGGGCACCCACGGUGAGCGGGUGCAUGGAACUAUGAUGUGCCCGUGGAACCAUGGAUGCCAAUUGUGCCCAUGACGCCUAUAGAGCCCAUUGGUGCAAUUGGCACAUAUGGUGCCCAUUAGUUGUGGCGCUAUUGGCACUUGUGAUGCCUAGGGUGCCCAUAGGGUCAUAAAUUUGUGCUCAGAUUUGUGUUUUGAGUGAAACAUCUUUUUGAUCUCAUGUAUUUUAUUUUUUUUGCCAUCUAUGCGGACAAACUACCAUUAGGCAGUUUGGUAAGCCCAAUUUUUUUGAAAAUCCCAUUUAAUUAAAAAAUUUUCCAAUUCAAUUUAGCAAAUAUCAUAUAAAAAUUAAUGAAUUUGAAGAUCAAAAUCAUGUGGUAAAGUGAAUGUAAAUGUCAAUUUUUAAUGUUUCAAAUUUAAUUUUUUAGAAUGAGGUAGGUUGAAUAAGUUAAUGAUAUAGAUUUUAAAAAAAGUGUUUAACUAUAACAUGUAAGGUCCACUUUGAUUGUUGGUCUUGCAUGCUCCACUAAACUUCAACAUCAAACCCUUGGAAGCCAUCGAGGUCGUGCAAUUACUGAACACAAUAGGCUCUGACUAUCACAAUUUAAUUUAUGAUUGCAGGUUAUUAAUGAUGAACAUCCAAGCACCUCAUCCCGCCCACAUCUUUAGAAAGCAAAACAAAGUGGCGGACACACUAGCAAAGCUUGGAUUUUCAGUAGCAGAUUUUGGCCAGACACAUAUUUUGUCAAACCCUCAAUCUACUGUAGCUGUCUUUGUCCAAGGAUAUAUGCUAGGAAUAUCGAAUGUAAGAAAUAUUAGUGUGGACUUUAUUAACCUACUAUGUUGGGAUGUGUCUACUAAUCUAAACACCUGUAUCAGAUCGGAUUAAGUUGCGUUAAUAUAAUCAUUCUUUUAACCAAAAAAAAACUUCAACUUUUUUUUUAUUUCUCCUAUUUUUGUGAUCUAUUUGGUGGUUUGGACGAGUCGAUUUUCUAAAAAACUGCUUUCAUCUCAUUCAAUCGACACUUUACCCCAAUUCGAUACAAAAUUCUCAUUCUUCUUGAGGCAAAAUCUAAUGAAAAAUAAUGAAUUUAAAUAUCAAAGUUGUAUUGUAAGGAAAUGCGAAUAUCAUUCAGUUUUUUAAAAUGAGGUAGAUAGCAUAAGUUAACUAUAUAAAUUAUAAAUAGUGAUUAAAAAUGUUACAAAAGCCCUAUUUGACUUGUUUGUCUUGCAAGUUCCACUUGACUUAUAUUAUACCUCAACCACAUGGGUUUGAACCUAGAUGAGUGCAUUUAGUUAUCUUAUUGACUUAUUUCAUCUUCUUAGUAAAUUUAGUUACAUUUUUUUAAAAUAGGGAAAACAUGCAAGUUAAAAUUUUAGCAAGUAUCAUAAGAAUAUUGAUUGGUUUCUAUUUUUUUAGUAGAUUUUACUACUUUCUUAAAAAGAUAAAAAGAAUUAGGAAAAACAUGCAAUUUACUGUAGCCAGUGCAGGUUUCUGACACUAUCUAUUAUAGAAGAGAUUAUACGCAAACAAGUAGGGUCUCAGGAUUGCGCUCAUUUAAUUUUUUGCAUAGUGGGGUGUGUGUAUAUUGUCAACUCAAGGACGCAUAAUUUAGUAUAUGGUGCGAACAUCCACCGCAGUAGUACCUUGUAAUUGUGGUGUGUGAGCACCAAACAUAUAGUCCACUCGUAGUGGGUGCCCAUGGUGCCUUGGUGCAUGGAACCAUGGUGUGCCUUUGGUGCUCAUGAUACCAGUUAAACAUGUGGUGUGCCUUUGGAGCUCAUGGCACCUUCGGUGCCCAUGGCGCUGAUAGUGCCUACGGUGCCCAUUGCGUCCUUGGUAAAAUAAAUAGGGAAAAUAUGAGAUUUAAAAUUUUAACAAGUAUUAAUAUUUUAUUGAAUAAUUUUCUCUUCUUACAUGACUUUAUUAUGUUUAAAAAAUAAAAAAUAAAUAGGAAAAACAUGCAAUUUAAUAAUUUAGCAAGUAUUUAUAUUUCAUUGAAUGAUUUCCCUUCUUUAUAGUUGAUUUUUUUACUUUUUAAAAUAAAUAAAUAAAUAAGGUAAGUAUGAGAUUUACAGUAGCGAGUGUUUGUUCUCAUAUAUGUCUUCUGCAAAAGAGGUUGUAAGCAAACAAGAGAUAUCUCAUAUGCUUACGUACUUUUAAUUUUUUGCGCAUCGAGUGUGCGUAUAUUGCAAACUCAAGGACAUACGAUUUGGUACAUAGCGCACGAUGUUCAUUGCAGUUAUUCAUUAUUAUUAUGGUACGCGAGUGCCUAACACAUAGUACAACUGCGGUGGGUGUCAAUGGUGCCUUGGUUCUUAUGGUGCCAAUAGUACCCGCAGUGUCCAUGGGUCCCUUGGUGCCAGUGGUGCCCAAGGAGCCUUUGUUGACCAUGGAGCCCAUGUCGCCCAUGCCGCCCAUGGUACCUUUGGGAAAUAAAUUGGAAAAUAUAAAAUUUUAAAUUUUCACUAGUAUUAAUAUUUUAUUAACUAGUUCUCUCUUACUUUAUAUUUUUACUUUUUGAAAUAAAAUCAAAAAAUAAAUAGGAAAAGCAUGCGAUCUAAUGUUUUAGCAAGUAUUAAUAUUUCAUUGAGUUAUUUUCUUUUCUUUAGAUUGAUUUUCUUACUUUUUCAUAAUUAACAAGUCAAAUAAGGUAAACAUUCAAUUUACUGUAGCGAGAGUUGGGUCUCAUAUUUAUCUACUAUAGAAGAGGUUGUAAGAAAAUAAGUGAUGUCUCAUGUGCUUACACUCUUUUGAUUUUUUGUUUAGCAAGGUGUGUAUAUUUCCAACUCAAGAACGUGUAAUUUGGUACAUGGCGCCUGACAUUCGUCGCAAUUGUACAUGGUUAUUGUGGUGUGCCGGUGCAUAAUACAUAGCGCACCCACGGAGGACUCCCAUGGUGCCCUGGUGUGGGUUCUCAUGGUAUGCCUUUGGUGCUCGUCACGCCCCUAGUGACCCUGACGCUCAUGGUGCCCUUAGUUAUAAUGGAGCCCAUGAUUCCAUUGGUGAC
RNAcentral lists this long non-coding RNA (6425 nucleotides) under Capsicum annuum. RNAcentral describes it as "long non-coding RNA (CANN_LNC014085)". The record is from RNAcentral. Lineage: Eukaryota; Viridiplantae; Streptophyta; Magnoliopsida; Solanales; Solanaceae.